This 301-nucleotide ribosomal RNA is filed under the name uncultured bacterium. RNAcentral's name for it is "partial 16S ribosomal RNA". It matches the Rfam family "Bacterial small subunit ribosomal RNA", at positions 509 to 807 of the family's 1533-position model. The record is from RNAcentral.
CAGUCGCCACGGUAAUACGUAGGUGGCAAGCGUUGUCCGGAAUUAUUGGGCGUAAAGGGCUCGCAGGCGGUUUCUUAAGUCUGAUGUGAAAGCCCCCGGCUCAACCGGGGAGGGUCAUUGGAAACUGGGAAACUUGAGUGCAGAAGAGGAGAGUGGAAUUCCACGUGUAGCGGUGAAAUGCGUAGAGAUGUGGAGGAACACCAGUGGCAAAGGCGACUCUCUGGUCUGUAACUGACGCUGAGGAGCGAAAGCGUGGGGAGCGAACAGGAUUAGAUACCCCUGUAGUCCCUGUCUCUUAUAC